GCCAGCGUAGCUCAAUUGGCAGAGCACCUGAUUUGUAAUCAGGCGGUUGCGGGUUCAAGUCCCGCCGCUGGCUCCA
Molecule: transfer RNA, 76 nt
Filed under: Planctomycetota bacterium
Lineage: Bacteria; Pseudomonadati; Planctomycetota
Description: Planctomycetes bacterium (bioreactor metagenome) tRNA-Thr
Rfam family: tRNA
About the family: Transfer RNA (tRNA) molecules are approximately 80 nucleotides in length.
Source: RNAcentral